UACAGAGGGUGCAAGCGUUGUUCGGAAUUAUUGGGCGUAAAGGGCGCGUAGGCGGUGCCACAAGUCACCUGUGAAAUCUCCGGGCUUAACUCGGAGCCUGCAGGCGAAACUGUGGUGCUGGAGUGUGGGAGAGGUGCGUGGAAUUCCUGGUGUAGCGGUGAAAUGCGCAGAUAUCAGGAGGAACACCAAUGGCGAAGGCAGCUCGCUGGGACGGUACUGACGCUGAGACGCGAAAGCUAGGGGAGCGAAUGGG
RNAcentral lists this ribosomal RNA (253 nucleotides) under uncultured bacterium. RNAcentral's name for it is "partial 16S ribosomal RNA". It matches the Rfam family "Bacterial small subunit ribosomal RNA", at positions 524 to 776 of the family's 1533-position model. The record is from RNAcentral.